This 490-nucleotide ribosomal RNA is filed under the name uncultured bacterium. RNAcentral's name for it is "partial 16S ribosomal RNA". It matches the Rfam family "Bacterial small subunit ribosomal RNA", at positions 30 to 507 of the family's 1533-position model. The record is from RNAcentral.
AUUGAACGCUGGCGGCAGGCCUAACACAUGCAAGUCGAACGGUAACAGGAAGCAGCUUGCUGCUUCGCUGACGAGUGGCGGACGGGUGAGUAAUGUCUGGGAAACUGCCUGAUGGAGGGGGAUAACUACUGGAAACGGUAGCUAAUACCGCAUAACGUCGCAAGACCAAAGAGGGGGACCUUAGGGCCUCUUGCCAUCGGAUGUGCCCAGAUGGGAUUAGCUAGUAGGUGGGGUUACGGCUCACCUAGGCGACGAUCCCUAGCUGGUCUGAGAGGAUGACCAGCCACACUGGAACUGAGACACGGUCCAGACUCCUACGGGAGGCAGCAGUGGGGAAUAUUGCACAAUGGGCGCAAGCCUGAUGCAGCCAUGCCGCGUGUAUGAAGAAGGCCUUCGGGUUGUAAAGUACUUUCAGCGGGGAGGAAGGGAGUAAAGUUAAUACCUUUGCUCAUUGACGUUACCCGCAGAAGAAGCACCGGCUAACUCCGUG